AGAGUUUGAUCCUGGCUCAGGAUAAACGCUGGCGGCGUGCCUAAUACAUGCAAGUCGAACGGAGAGAGACAAGCUUGCUUGUCGAACUUAGUGGCGAACGGGUGAGUAAUACAUAAGCAACCUGCCCAUAAAGUCCGGGAUAACUUUGGGAAACUGGAAUUAAUACCGGAUAGGUAACGGAGACGCAUGUUUCUGUUAUUAAAGGUGAGAAACGCUAAUGGAUGGGCUUAUGGCGCAUUAGCUUGUUGGUAAGGUAACGGCUUACCAAGGCGAUGAUGCGUAGCCGGCCUGAGAGGGUGAACGGCCACAUUGGGACUGAGACACGGCCCAGACUCCUACGGGAGGCAGCAGUAGGGAAUUUUCGGCAAUGGGCGAAAGCCUGACCGAGCAACGCCGCGUGAGUGCUAAGGAUUUCGGUCUGUAAAGCUCUGUUGUAAGGGAAGAAUUGAUCAGAGAGGAUCUGAUAGUGACGGUACCUUACCAGAAAGCCACGGCUAACUACGUGCCAGCAGCCGCGGUAAUACGUAGGUGGCGAGCGUUAUCCGGAAUUAUUGGGCGUAAAGGGUGCGUAGGCGGCACAAUAAGUUUAAGGUGAAAGCGUGGGGCUCAACCCCAUAAAGCCUUAGAUACUGUUGAGCUAGAGUACUGGAGAGGGAAGUGGAAUUCCAUGUGUAGCGGUAAAAUGCGUAGAUAUAUGGAGGAACACCAGAGGCGAAGGCGGCUUCCUAGCCAGAGACUGACGCUGAGGCACGAAAGCGUGGGGAGCAAAUAGGAUUAGAUACCCUAGUAGUCCACGCCGUAAACGAUGAAUACUAAGUUUUGGGGGAACUCAGAGCUGCAGUUAACGCAAUAAGUAUUCCGCCUGUGGAGUAUGCACGCAGUGUGAAACAUAAAGGAAUUGACGGGGGCC
RNAcentral lists this ribosomal RNA (910 nucleotides) under uncultured bacterium. RNAcentral describes it as "bacterial SSU rRNA". It matches the Rfam family "Bacterial small subunit ribosomal RNA", at positions 8 to 921 of the family's 1533-position model. The record is from RNAcentral.